GAUGAACGCUAGCGACAGGCUUAACACAUGCAAGUCGAGGGGCAGCGAGGGCGUAGCAAUACGCUUGUCGGCGACCGGCGCACUGGUGAGUAACACGUAUGCGACCUGCCCCCUACAGGGGUAUAACCCGUAGAAAUGCGGACUAAUCCCCCAUAGUCCUGGGUGCUGCAUGGCAUUCAGGGGAAAGGCCAGCCGGUAGGGGAUGGGCAUGCGGCGCAUUAGCUAGUUGGCGGGGCAACGGCCCACCAAGGCGACGAUGCGUAGGGGUUCUGAGAGGAAGGUCCCCCACACUGGUACUGAGACACGGACCAGACUCCUACGGGAGGCAGCAGUGAGGAAUAUUGGUCAAUGGACGGAAGUCUGAACCAGCCAAGUAGCGUGCAGGAUGACGGCCCUAUGGGUUGUAAACUGCUUUUANGUGGGAAUAAAGUCAGGGACGUGUCCCUGUUUGCAUGUACCACAGGAAUAAGGACCGGCUAAUUCCGUGCCAGCAGCCG
Molecule: ribosomal RNA, 497 nt
Filed under: uncultured bacterium
Lineage: Bacteria
Description: bacterial SSU rRNA
Rfam family: Bacterial small subunit ribosomal RNA
Source: RNAcentral